AGAGCGAACGCUGGCGGCAGGCCUAAAACAUGCAAGUCGAACGGACCCUUCGGGGUUAGUGGCGGACGGGUGAGUAACACGUGGGAACGUGCCUUUUGGUUCGGGACAAGCCGGGGAAACCUGGUCUAAUACCGGAUAAGCCCUUCGGGGGAAAGAUUUAUCGCCAUUAGAGCGGCCCGCGUUGGAUUAGCUAGUUGGUGAGGUAAAGGCUCACCAAGGCUACGAUCCAUAGCUGGUCUGAGAGGAUGAUCAGCCACACUGGGACUGAGACACGGCCCAGACUCCUACGGGAGGCAGCAGUUAGGAAUCUUGCGCAAUGGGCGAAAGCCUGACGCAGCCAUGCCGCGUGAAUGAUGAAGGUCUUAGGAUUGUAAAAUUCUUUCAGCGGGGAAGAUAAUGACUGUACCCGCAGAAGAAGCUCCGGCUAACUUCGUGCCAGCAGCCGC
This 446-nucleotide ribosomal RNA is filed under the name uncultured bacterium. RNAcentral's name for it is "SSU rRNA". It matches the Rfam family "Bacterial small subunit ribosomal RNA", at positions 26 to 518 of the family's 1533-position model. The record is from RNAcentral.